CCUACGGGAGCCAGCAGUGAGGAAUAUUGGUCAAUGGACGAGAGUCUGAACCAGCCAAGUAGCGUGAAGGAUGACUGCCCUAUGGGUUGUAAACUUCUUUUAUAUGGGAAUAAAAUGUUCCACGUGUGGGAUUUUGUAUGUACCAUAUGAAUAAGGAUCGGCUAACUCCGUGCCAGCAGCCGCGGUAAUACGGAGGAUCCGAGCGUUAUCCGGAUUUAUUGGGUUUAAAGGGAGCGUAGGUGGAUUGUUAAGUCAGUUGUGAAAGUUUGCGGCCCAACCGUAAAAUUGCAGUUGAAACUGGCAGGCUGGAGUGCAGUAGAGGUGGGCGGAAUUCGUGGUGUAGCGGUGAAAUGCUUAGAUAUCACGAAGAACUCCGAUUGCGAAGGCAGCUCACUGGACUGCAACUGACACUGAGGCUCGAAAGUGUGGGUAUCAAACAGGAUUAGAUACCCCAGUAGUC
Molecule: ribosomal RNA, 460 nt
Filed under: uncultured bacterium
Lineage: Bacteria
Description: partial 16S ribosomal RNA
Rfam family: Bacterial small subunit ribosomal RNA
Source: RNAcentral